ACAGGGUAUGACUGAUGCUGUGGGGU
RNAcentral lists this non-coding RNA (26 nucleotides) under Rattus norvegicus (Norway rat). Lineage: Eukaryota; Metazoa; Chordata; Mammalia; Rodentia; Muridae. The record is from RNAcentral.